UACGGGGGGGGCAAGCGUUGUUCGGAAUUACUGGGCGUAAAGGGCUCGUAGGCGGCCAACUAAGUCGAACGUGAAGUCCCUGGGCUCAACCCAGGAACUGCGUCCGAUACUGGUUGGCUUGAAUCCGGGAGAGGGAUGUGGAAUUCCAGGUGUAGCGGUGAAAUGCGUAGAUAUCUGGAGGAACACCGGUGGCGAAGGCGACAUCCUGGACCGGCAUUGACGCUGAGGCGCGAAAGCCAGGGGAGCAAACGGG
Molecule: ribosomal RNA, 253 nt
Filed under: uncultured bacterium
Lineage: Bacteria
Description: partial 16S ribosomal RNA
Rfam family: Bacterial small subunit ribosomal RNA
Source: RNAcentral